RNAcentral lists this ribosomal RNA (468 nucleotides) under uncultured bacterium. RNAcentral's name for it is "partial 16S ribosomal RNA". It matches the Rfam family "Bacterial small subunit ribosomal RNA", at positions 28 to 507 of the family's 1533-position model. The record is from RNAcentral.
GACGAACGCUGGCGGCGUGCUUAACACAUGCAAGUCGAACGGCAAGGCCCUGCUUUUGUGGGGUGCUCGAGUGGCGAACGGGUGAGUAACACGUGAGUAACCUGCCCUUGACUUUGGGAUAACUUCAGGAAACUGGGGCUAAUACCGUAUAGGAGCUCCUGCUGCAUGGUGGGGGUUGGAAAGUUUCGGCGGUUGGGGAUGGACUCGCGGCUUAUGAGCUUGUUGGUGGGGUAGUGGCUUACCAAGGCUUUGACGGGUAGCCGGCCUGAGAGGGUGACCGGCCACCUUGGGACUGAGAGAGGGACCAGACUCCUACGGGGGGCAGCAGUGGCGAGUAUUGCACAAUGGGCGGAAGCCUGAUGCAGCAGCGCCGCGUGCGGGAUGACGGCCUUCGGGUUGUAAACCGCUGUCGCCUGUGACGAAGCGUGAGUGACGGUAAUGGAUAAAGAAGCACCGGCUAACUACGUG